RNAcentral lists this transfer RNA (77 nucleotides) under Candidatus Collierbacteria bacterium RIFOXYD1_FULL_40_9. Its description in RNAcentral is "tRNA-Val". It matches the Rfam family "tRNA". Rfam says of the family: Transfer RNA (tRNA) molecules are approximately 80 nucleotides in length. Their secondary structure includes four short double-helical elements and three loops (D, anti-codon, and T loops). Lineage: Bacteria; Candidatus Collieribacteriota. The record is from RNAcentral.
GGAUCUGUAGCGCAGCUGGUUAGCGCGCCUCAUUCACAUUGAGGAGGUCACUGGUUCGAAUCCAGUCAGAUCCACCA